Molecule: ribosomal RNA, 508 nt
Filed under: uncultured cyanobacterium
Lineage: Bacteria; Bacillati; Cyanobacteriota
Description: bacterial SSU rRNA
Rfam family: Bacterial small subunit ribosomal RNA
Source: RNAcentral
AGCUGACGGAGCACGCCGCGUGAGGGAUGGAGGCCUUUGGGCUGUAAACCUCUUUUCUCAAGGAAGAAGACCUGACGGUACUUGAGGAAUAAGCCACGGCUAAUUCCGUGCCAGCAGCCGCGGUAAUACGGGAGUGGCAAGCGUUAUCCGGAAUUAUUGGGCGUAAAGCGUCCGCAGGCGGCCGUUUAAGUCUGUUGUUAAAUCGUGGAGCUCAACUCCAUCACGGCAAUGGAAACUGUUCGGCUUGAGUAUGGUAGGGGCAGAGGGAAUUUCCGGUGUAGCGGUGAAAUGCGUAGAUAUCGGGAAGAACACCAGUGGCGAAAGCGCUCUGCUGGACCAUUACUGACGCUCAUGGACGAAAGCCAGGGGAGCGAAAGGGAUUAGAUACCCCUGUAGUCCUGGCCGUAAACGAUGAACACUAGAUGUUGGGGGAAUCGACCCCCUCGGUGUCGUAGCUAACGCGUUAAGUGUUCCGCCUGGGGAGUACGCACGCAAGUGUGAAACUCAA